This is a long non-coding RNA of Triticum aestivum (bread wheat), 212 nucleotides long. RefSeq lists it as uncharacterized. The transcript is spliced from 2 exons. The record is from RefSeq and is a predicted model, not a curated record. NCBI's taxonomy places the organism in Eukaryota, Viridiplantae, Streptophyta, Magnoliopsida, Poales, Poaceae.
UACGUCACACAUGGUCUGCCACCGUGUCGUCCUACCUGCUUCAGGGCCCUCUACUUCUUCCCCCAAGAUUGCCAUUAUGAUUAACAAAUCUGACGAGAGCAAUUUAAUUGGUGACACAUCAUAUUUAUUCUGCAACUGCAUGUGAAUUCUCAUCUUGCGCCUACCUCUUUUGCUUACCAGUGAAGAUGGAGAGCUUUAGGCAAAAAAAGAAA